UACAGAGGUCUCAAGCGUUGUUCGGAUUCAUUUGGCGUAAAGGGUGCGUAGGCGGCGCGGUAAGUCGGGUGUGAAAUCUCGGAGCUUAACUCCGAAACUGCAUUCGAUACUGCCGUGCUUGAGGACUGGAGAGGAGACUGGAAUUCAUGGUGUAGCAGUGAAAUGCGUAGAGAUCAUGAGGAAGACCAGUGGCGAAGGCGGGUCUCUGGACAGUUCCUGACACUGAGGCACGAAGGCCAGGGGAGCAAACGGG
Molecule: ribosomal RNA, 253 nt
Filed under: uncultured bacterium
Lineage: Bacteria
Description: partial 16S ribosomal RNA
Rfam family: Bacterial small subunit ribosomal RNA
Source: RNAcentral